GACAGGGGGCUCGAGCGUUAUUCGGAAUCACUGGGCUUAAAGGGUGCGUAGGCGGGCCAGUAAGCGUCUUGUGAAAUCCCCCGGCUCAACCGGGGAACUGCGGGGCGAACUGCUGGUCUUGAGGAAGCUAGAGGCCGGUAGAACGAUUGGUGGAGCGGUGGAAUGCGUAGAUAUCAAUCGGAAUGCCGAAAGUGAAGACAGCCGGCUGGGGCUUUCCUGACGCUGAGGCACGAAAGCGUGGGGAGCAAACGGG
This 253-nucleotide ribosomal RNA is filed under the name uncultured bacterium. Its description in RNAcentral is "partial 16S ribosomal RNA". It matches the Rfam family "Bacterial small subunit ribosomal RNA", at positions 524 to 776 of the family's 1533-position model. The record is from RNAcentral.